This 829-nucleotide ribosomal RNA is filed under the name uncultured crenarchaeote. RNAcentral describes it as "bacterial SSU rRNA". It matches the Rfam family "Archaeal small subunit ribosomal RNA", at positions 52 to 859 of the family's 1478-position model. Lineage: Archaea; Thermoproteati; Thermoproteota. The record is from RNAcentral.
UGCUAGUCGAGCGCUUCCUAGCCAAUUUGGGAGCGCGGCGCACAGCUCAGUAACACGUGGCUAACCUGCCCUUGGGACGAGGACACCCCCGGGAAACUGGGGCUAAUCCUCGAUAGGUGAAGAACUCUGGAAUGAGUCUCCACCCAAAAGACGCUUACGCUAUGCUUGUAGGCGCCGCCCAAGGAUGGGGCCGCGACCGAUCAGGUUGUUGGUGAGGCAACGGCUCACCAAGCCUAUAACCGGUGCGGGCCGUGGGAGCGGGAGCCCGGAGAUGGGCACUGAGACAAGGGCCCAGGCCCUACGGGGCGCAGCAGUCGCGAAAACUUUGCAAUACACGAAAGUGUGACAGGGCUAUCCCGAGUGCCAUCCGCUGAGGAAGGCUUUUACCCAGUGUAGAUAGCUGGGGGAAUAAGGAGAGGGCAAGACUGGUGUCAGCCGCCGCGGUAAUACCAGCUCUCCGAGUGGUGUGGAUGUUUAUUGGGCCUAAAGCAUCCGUAGCUGGCCGGACAAGUCCCCUGUUAAAUCCACCGAUUCAAUCGUUGGUGUGCGGGGGAUACUGUUCGGCUAGGGGACGGGAGAGGCAGACGGUAUUUCCGGGGUAGGGGUGAAAUCCUAUAAUCCCGGGAAGACCACCAGUGGCGAAGGCUGUCUGCUAGAACGCGCCCGACGGUGAGGGAUGAAAGCUGGGGGAGCGAACCGGAUUAGAUACCCGGGUAGUCCCAGCUGUAAACGAUGCAGCUAGGUGUUUGGGCGGCCACGUGCCGCUCUAGUGCCGCAGGAAGUCGUUAAGCCUGCCGCCUGGGGAGUACGGCCGCAAGGCUGAACUUAA